RNAcentral lists this ribosomal RNA (437 nucleotides) under uncultured bacterium. Its description in RNAcentral is "partial 16S ribosomal RNA". It matches the Rfam family "Bacterial small subunit ribosomal RNA", at positions 29 to 507 of the family's 1533-position model. The record is from RNAcentral.
AGCGAACGCUGGCGGCAUGCUUAACACAUGCAAGUCGAGCGGGCAUCCUUGUGGUGUCAGCGGCAGACGGGUGAGUAACGCGUGGGAACGUGCCCUUCGGUUCGGAAUAACUCAUGGAAACUUGACCUAAUACCGGAUACGUUCGAGAGCAGAAAGGUUUAUCUGCCGAAGGAUCGGCCCGCGUCUGAUUAGCUAGUUGGUGAGGUGACGGCUCACCAAGGCGACGAUCAGUAGCUGGUCUGAGAGGCUGAUCAGCCACACUGGGAAUGAGACACGGACCAGACUGCUACGGGAGGCAGCAGUGGGGAAUAUUGGAGGAUGAGGGCAAACCUGAUCAAGCCAUGCCGGGUGGGUGAUGACGGCCUUAGGGUUGUAAAGCUCUUUUCUCCGGGACGAUAAUGACGGUACCGGAGGAAUAAGCACCGGCUAACUUCGUG